GUGUGAUUCGUCACACUAUCAUUAACUGAAUCCAUAGGUUAAUGAGGCGAACCGGGGGAACUGAAACAUCUAAGUACCCCGAGGAAAAGAAAUCAACCGAGAUUCCCCCAGUAGCGGCGAGCGAACGGGGAGCAGCCCAGAGCCUGAAUCAGUGUGUGUGUUAGUGGAAGCGUCUGGAAAGGCGCGCGAUACAGGGUGACAGCCCCGUACACAAAAAUGCACAUGCUGUGAGCUCGAUGAGUAGGGCGGGACACGUGGUAUCCUGUCUGAAUAUGGGGGGACCAUCCUCCAAGGCUAAAUACUCCUGACUGACCGAUAGUGAACCAGUACCGUGAGGGAAAGGCGAAAAGAACCCCGGCGAGGGGAGUGAAAAAGAACCUGAAACCGU
Molecule: ribosomal RNA, 388 nt
Filed under: Escherichia coli
Lineage: Bacteria; Pseudomonadati; Pseudomonadota; Gammaproteobacteria; Enterobacterales; Enterobacteriaceae
Description: partial 23S ribosomal RNA
Rfam family: Bacterial large subunit ribosomal RNA
Source: RNAcentral